This 253-nucleotide ribosomal RNA is filed under the name uncultured bacterium. RNAcentral describes it as "partial 16S ribosomal RNA". It matches the Rfam family "Bacterial small subunit ribosomal RNA", at positions 524 to 776 of the family's 1533-position model. The record is from RNAcentral.
UACAGAGGUCUCAAGCGUUGUUCGGAUUCAUUGGGCGUAAAGGGUGCGUAGGUGGCGCUGUAAGUCAGGUGUGAAAUUUCGGAGCUUAACUCCGAAACUGCAUUUGAUACUGCGGUGCUUGAGGACUGGAGAGGAGACUGGAAUUUACGGUGUAGCAGUGAAAUGCGUAGAGAUCGUAAGGAAGACCAGUGGCGAAGGCGAGUUUCUGGACAGUUACUGACGCUGAGGCACGAAGGCCAGGGGAGCAAACGGG